GUCGAACGUGAAAGCACUUCGGUGUGAGUAGAGUGGCGGACGGGUGAGUAACGCGUGGGAAUCUGCCCAGUAGUGGGGGACAACUACCGGAAACGGUAGCUAAUACCGCAUACGCCCUAUGGGGGAAAGGCUUCGGCCGCUAUUGGAUGAGCCCGCGUCAGAUUAGCUAGUUGGUAGGGUAAAGGCCUACCAAGGCAACGAUCUGUAGCUGGUCUGAGAGGACGAACAGCCACACUGGGACUGAGACACGGCCCAGACUCCUACGGGAGGCAGCAGUGGGGAAUAUUGGACAAUGGGCGAAAGCCUGAUCCAGCAAUGCCGCGUGUGUGAAGAAGGCCUGCGGGUUGUAAAGCACUUUCAGUUGGGAAGAUGAUGACGUUACCAACAGAAGAAGCACCGGCUAAAUCCGUGCCAGCAGCCGCGGUAAUACGGAUGGUGCGAGCGUUAAUCGGAAUUACUGGGCGUAAAGCGCGCGUAGGCGGCUAAGUCAGUCAGAAGUGAAAGCCCCGGGCUCAACCUGGGAAUUGCUUUUGAUACUGCUUGGCUAGAGUUUGGUAGAGGAUAGUGGAAUUCCAGGUGUAGCGGUGAAAUGCGUAGAUAUCUGGAGGAACAUCAGUGGCGAAGGCGACUGUCUGGACCGAAACUGACGCUGAGGUGCGAAAGCGUGGGUAGCAAACAGGAUUAGAUACCCUGGUAGUCCACGCCGUAAACGAUGUCAACUAGCCGUCGGGUCUAUUUACAGACUCGGUGGCGCAGCUAACGCGAUAAGUUGACCGCCUGGGGAGUACGGC
This 791-nucleotide ribosomal RNA is filed under the name uncultured Gammaproteobacteria bacterium. Its description in RNAcentral is "bacterial SSU rRNA". It matches the Rfam family "Bacterial small subunit ribosomal RNA", at positions 61 to 886 of the family's 1533-position model. The record is from RNAcentral. Lineage: Bacteria; Pseudomonadati; Pseudomonadota; Gammaproteobacteria.